GAUUGCAGGCUGCAACUCGCCUGCAUGAAGUCGGAAUUGCUAGUAAUCGUAGGUCAGCAUACUACGGUGAAUACGUUCCCGGGCCUUGUACACACCGCCCGUCAAACCAUGAGAGUUGGCAACACCCGAAGUCGGUAGUCUAACCGCAAGGAGGACGCCGCCGAAGGUGGGGUUGAUGAUUAGGGUUAAGUCGUAACAAGGUAUC
RNAcentral lists this ribosomal RNA (205 nucleotides) under uncultured bacterium. RNAcentral's name for it is "partial 16S ribosomal RNA". It matches the Rfam family "Bacterial small subunit ribosomal RNA", at positions 1296 to 1500 of the family's 1533-position model. The record is from RNAcentral.